AUGGACUCUGCCGCGGCGUCGUCCCUCGUCGUCAGCCCCGCCUCCGACGACCGCUUCUGGGACGGCCUGCGCACCCGCGUCGACACCAUCCUCGAGGACCGCCGCCUCGUCGCCUCCGCCGCGUCCACGUGCGCGGUGGCGUCCGGGCGCCCCAAGCGGCUCCGGGAGGACUCGCUGAUGCUGGUCCGCGGCCUCGACUCCGUCGCCGCCUCGCUCGCGCAGCUCUCCGACACCCUCACCGCCGCCCAGAAGGGCGUGAACGCUCUGGCGAUGUGCUCGUCCCAGGCGAGGGAACGCGAGAGGGGAGAGGAGGAGCCCGACGCCAAGCGCCACUGCACCGCCUCGACGGAGUUCGCGACCCUCGAAGCCCAGAAAGACGUCAAUGAAGGUUCAGACAACGGCGCCGGGGACGCGAAACCGCGCGAGGGGCCCGACGGCGACGCCGUCCUGGCCUCCGCCGAGGUCGCGCAGAGCACCAACCUGAAGCGGGCGCGCAGUCUGGCGGUGUCGAUGGCGGGCAGGGCGGCGAACCUGGCCCGGGAGCUGACGACCAUCAAGUCGGAGCUGCGGUUCAUGCAGGAGAGGUGCGGCCUGCUGGAGGAGGAGAACAGGCGGCUCCGGGACGGCUACGACGACGGCGGCGCCGCCCCCGAGGAAGACGACCUGGUUCGGCUGCAGCUGGAGGCGCUGCUGGCGGAGAAGUCGCGGCUGGCGCAGGAGAACGCGAACCUGGCCCGGGAGAACCAGAGCCUGGUGCAGCUGGUGGAGUACCACCAGCUCACCGCCCAGGAGGAAGAAGAGGAGGAGCUGGAGGACCACCUCCUCACCGCGUCCUACGAGGAGGCCGUCAUGCAGGGGAUGCGGCUCGACUUCUCGUCGCCGCUCGGCAAGAUCGACGGCGAGUUCGACGGGGUUCCGGCCACCCCCGGCAGCAAGCUCGGCGUGCUGGUGUCACCUGAUGAGUGA
RNAcentral lists this ribosomal RNA (966 nucleotides) under Triticum aestivum (bread wheat). RNAcentral's name for it is "partial small subunit ribosomal RNA". The record is from RNAcentral. Lineage: Eukaryota; Viridiplantae; Streptophyta; Magnoliopsida; Poales; Poaceae.